Molecule: ribosomal RNA, 433 nt
Filed under: uncultured bacterium
Lineage: Bacteria
Description: partial 16S ribosomal RNA
Rfam family: Bacterial small subunit ribosomal RNA
Source: RNAcentral
GCGAACGCUGGCGGCAGGCCUCACACAUGCCAGUCGAACGAACCUUUCGGGGUUAGUGGCGGACGGGUGAGUAACACGUGGGAACGUGCCUUUAGGUUCGGAAUAACUCAGGGAAACUUGUGCUAAUACCGAAUGUGCCCUUCGGGGGAAAGAUUAAUCGCCUUUAGAGCGGCCCGCGUCUGAUUAGCUAGUUGGUUGAGGUAAUGGCUCACCAAGGCGACGAUCAGUAGCUGGUCUGAGAGGAUGAUCAGCCACAUUGGGACUGAGACACGGCCCAAACUCCUACGGGAGGCAGCAGUGGGGAAUCGUGCGCAAUGGGCGAAAGCCUGACGCAGCCAGGCCGGGUGAAUGAUGAAGGUCUUAGGAUUGUAAAAUUCUUUCACCGGGGACGAUAAUGACGGUACCCUGAGAAGAAGCCACGGCUAACUUCGUG